Non-coding RNA from Caretta caretta (loggerhead turtle), 1990 nucleotides. Lineage: Eukaryota; Metazoa; Chordata; Testudines; Cheloniidae. The record is from RefSeq and is a predicted model, not a curated record.
UAACGAACAACUUUGCUUUUGAGAUGUUCCGGAAUCCUGUUUCCCAUGCUGUUAAAUGAAGAAACUGAAGAUCUGAAUGAUAAACCAUCCUGAAUGAUAAACCAUGCAACAAGAAGUCUGGUACCAGUGGCAGAGGCUUCAUUAAUUCUCUUGACAAGUGAAUUAAGUCUGGAUAGCAUUGUUCUCUGGGCCAUACUGGCACUAUUAAAAUUACCCUGGCCUUGUCCUGUCUUACCUUGUUGAUCACUCUCUGAAUGAGGGGAAAUGGGGGAAAUGCUUUAAGCCCUGACUCCAGAAUAUUAGAAAGGUAUCUGAUACUGAGUCCCUGCUUCUGCCUGCUCUCAAGCAAAAUUUGUGACACUUCCUGUUGCUGAUGGAUGCAAAAAGAUCUAUUAUUGGAUUCCCCCAUAAACUGAAGAGGUGUAUUACUACUUUGUCCUUCGAAAUCUACUCAUGCAUCUGAUAUUUUGAUUUUUUUCAGAUGAUCUGCAAGGGAGUUUUAUUCCUUGGCUACAUAGAUUACUACUGGGUGAAUAUUGUAUCUGUACACUGGUUCAAAAGGCUCUUUGUCUCCAUGCAUAAUUUCAGGGAAUCAGCCCCUCUUGCUUGUUCUGAUAAUAUAAUGCUGUCAUAUUGUCUGUUACCAUGUGAACUGCUCUGUGUUUGACCUUUAGAGCCAGUCUGAUUGCUCUUGGCUCUAAUGUAUUGAUAUGUAGGUUCUUUUCUUUUGGUGACCAAUGAGUUGUGACGAACAAAUUGUUGUUCAAUGUAGAUGCAGAGGAGGAAAGUAUUACUGAUGGCAGAGGGGAAUUGAAAAGUGUACCCCUCAUUACACUGAGUGUUUGUUCACCUUGUUAGUGAUGUUAACACUUGCUGUGGGAUUACUGUUUUGCAAUGCAUGGUGACUAAACCUGAUUUGUAAUGUAUUGUUAACCAGUGUUGAAGAUCUCUCAUCUGAAGACAAGCAUGUGGUGUCACUGAUGUGGUUGAUGCCAAAAGACCCAGCAGGAGGAGAAAAAGAUCAAAGGAAUGGAAGAGAAAUUCAGGAAGGAGGAGGGAUGUGGUCAUGACUCUAACACUGACUUCAAGUGGUUUAGUUCUCCCCAUGCUCAGGCAAAGGACUUCCUGAGCCCCAUUCUGAUCUCGGUGACACUGUAUUUACAUCACGGCACCUUCAUUGAUUUCAGUGGAGUUACUCCUGACUUAAACCAGUAACCCUCCUCCUUGGCAAUGAGAUGGUUGUGCUUCAACGUGUCUUCCCUGUACUAAACCAGGAUGAAUUUCAAAUGUAGUGAAGAGGACCAAAGCAAACCUCAUCACUCCACUUUGGACCUACAUAAGCCUGAGUUCAAUCAAGCACAUAACCAUGUACUUUACUUUCAGCAUAGGAGUAGCUCCAUUGACUUCAGGACAAGUUCAGGUACACCAUCUGGUAUGGGUGAUAAUCAGUACAUGAGGUGACAAAAGCAUGAACAAGUAAAGUCAGCAGGAGAAGGCAAGGAUUCCAGUCAGAGGGACUAUUGUAAUCUCACUGGAGAAAUCUUUGGGGAUGGAAGAAAACAGCUGGAGGGUUUGGACAUUUGGAAGAGCUGCACAAUGCAGUGUUGUGCCCUGAUGUCAUAGAGCCGUUCGUGAGAGAGCAGAGCAGAGCGGAGCCGUUUGUGAGACAGCGGAGCGGAGCCCUGUGGGGCAGUCAGCUUCAGGUUGCGUAAGGUGCCCCUUACUUCUUUCCCCCCACACAGGAACAUUUUUAGCCAGACUGGGGAGUAACACUCUACAGAUGAACUUUUGAACUCUGGGGCUGGACUUUUUGGAGUUUGGGUGAUUUGUGGAUUGCUGGACUCAAGAGACGUUUGGGUUCUGGGACUCAAGAACCCGAGGGAAAGGAUGUGGCCCAAUUUGCUGUGGUGGAUCUUUGCUCAUGGUUUGGUUAAUGAACACUAGUUGUGGUGUUUCCCCAAUUUAAUGCUGAUGUCGUUUACCUCAUGUU